RNAcentral lists this ribosomal RNA (497 nucleotides) under uncultured bacterium. RNAcentral's name for it is "partial 16S ribosomal RNA". It matches the Rfam family "Bacterial small subunit ribosomal RNA", at positions 28 to 507 of the family's 1533-position model. The record is from RNAcentral.
GAUGAACGCUGGCGGCGUGCCUAAUACAUGCAAGUCGAGCGAACAGACGAGGAGCUUGCUCCUCUGACGUUAGCGGCGGACGGGUGAGUAACACGUGGAUAACCUACCUAUAAGACUGGGAUAACUUCGGGAAACUGGAGCUAAUACCGGAUAAUAUAUUGAACCGCAUGGUUCAAUAGUGAAAGACGGUUUUGCUGUCACUUAUAGAUGGAUCCGCGCCGCAUUAGCUAGUUGGUAAGGUAACGGCUUACCAAGGCAACGAUGCGUAGCCGACCUGAGAGGGUGAUCGGCCACACUGGAACGGAGACACGUUCCGGACUCCUACGGGAGGCAGGAGUAGGGAAUCUUCCGCAAUGGGCGAAAGCCUGACGGAGCAACGCCGCGUGAGUGAUGAAGGUCUUCGGAUCGGAAAACUCUGUUAUUAGGGAAGAACAAAUGUGUAAGUAACUAUGCACGUCUUGACGGUACCUAAUCAGAAAGCCACGGCUAACUACGUG